Molecule: ribosomal RNA, 270 nt
Filed under: uncultured prokaryote
Description: partial 16S ribosomal RNA
Rfam family: Bacterial small subunit ribosomal RNA
Source: RNAcentral
UACGUAGGGGCUAGCGUUGUCCGGAUUUACUGGGCGUAAAGGGAGCGUAGGCGGACUUUUAAGUGAGAUGUGAAAUACCCGGGCUUAACUUGGGUGCUGCAUUUCAAACUGGAGGUCUAGAGUGCAGGAGAGGAGAAUGGGAUUCCUAGUGUAGCGGUGAAAUGCGUAGAUAUUAGGAGGAACACCAGUUGCGAAGGCGGCUCUCUGGACUGUAACUGACGCUGAGGCACGAAAGCGUGGGGAGCAAACAGGAUUAGAUACCCUGGUAGU